Molecule: ribosomal RNA, 492 nt
Filed under: uncultured bacterium
Lineage: Bacteria
Description: partial 16S ribosomal RNA
Rfam family: Bacterial small subunit ribosomal RNA
Source: RNAcentral
AGUGAACGCUGGCGGUAGGCCUAACACAUGCAAGUCGAACGGCAGCACAGUAAGAGCUUGCUCUUACGGGUGGCGAGUGGCGGACGGGUGAGGAAUACAUCGGAAUCUACUUUUUCGUGGGGGAUAACGUAGGGAAACUUACGCUAAUACCGCAUACGACCUACGGGUGAAAGCAGGGGAUCUUCGGACCUUGCGCGAUUGAAUGAGCCGAUGUCGGAUUAGCUAGUUGGCGGGGUAAAGGCUCACCAAGGCGACGAUCCGUAGCUGGUCUGAGAGGAUGAUCAGCCACACUGGAACUGAGACACGGUCCAGACUCCUACGGGAGGCAGCAGUGGGGAAUAUUGGACAAAGGGCGCAAGCCUGAUCCAGCCAUACCGCGUGGGUGAAGAAGGCCUUCGGGUUGUAAAGCCCUUUUGUUGGGAAAGAAAAGCAGCAGGUUAAUACCCCGCUGUUCUGACGGUACCCAAAGAAUAAGCACCGGCUAACUUCGUG